This 413-nucleotide ribosomal RNA is filed under the name uncultured bacterium. Its description in RNAcentral is "partial 16S ribosomal RNA". It matches the Rfam family "Bacterial small subunit ribosomal RNA", at positions 360 to 774 of the family's 1533-position model. The record is from RNAcentral.
AAUAUUGCGCAAUGGAGGGAACUCUGACGCAGCGACGCCGCGUGAGCGAUGAAGGUCUUCGGAUCGUAAAGCUCUGUCCUUGGGGAAGAAGGGAGCCGUAAGGCUUCUUGACGGUACCCAGGGAGGACGCCACGGCUAACGACGGUCCAGCAGCCGCGGUAAGACGUAGGGGGCAAGCGUUGUCCGGAAUUAUUGGGCGUAAAGGGUGCGUAGGCGGCCUUUUAAGUCAGAUGUGAAAGCCCACGGCUUAACCGUGGGACUGCAUUUGAAACUGGAGGGCUUGAGUAUCGGAGAGGGUAGUGGAAAUCCCAGUGUAGCGGUGGAAUGCGUAGAUAUUGGGAGGAACACCAGUGGCGAAGGCGACUACCUGGACGAAAACUGACGCUGAGGCACGAAAGCUAGGGGAGCAAACA